This 11446-nucleotide small RNA is filed under the name Rattus norvegicus (Norway rat). Its description in RNAcentral is "uncharacterized LOC102547261". Lineage: Eukaryota; Metazoa; Chordata; Mammalia; Rodentia; Muridae. The record is from RNAcentral.
GGCUUUGGGGGGGGGGGAGAAACGCAAUGCAUUGCAAAAAUGAGAAGGCACCUAGAGCCGGGCAAGGUCCAGUGGUGUUGAGUAUGCUAGAGGCAGGCUUUUUGGGGAUCUGGAUGAUGCCUGAGCUUCCUCAGAUUGAUGUUCCGGUGGAGCACACAGCCUGGAGUUCUCUCUGGAGACCCUUGAGCCCUUCAGUGGCCUGCAGCUAAGAGUCUGGCUGGCGCUGUCCCGUUCUCAUCCCAAACUUGCCCUGGGGAAGAUAGAUUGUCCCGAGGUCCCCGUGGAAACCGCAGUGCCGCAGAGUUGCCAGUGCAGAGCUUCGGUUGACUUCGAAGCUCCUAGUCUGACCACCUAGAGUCAGAUAUAUAAGCUAAUAUAGGUGACACAUAUGGUGGUAGAAGGUGAGACAUUCACUUUGGGGAUGGAGUAGGGGCGCCUAUUUCUGCACUCUUUUAUGGCUGCCUCCUCCCGAGUGGCAAAGGAGGUGGCCAGCAGAGGGCAGCCUGUAGUCCGUGAAGCUAAGACAACUUUGCCUAGCCUCGGGCUGGGUUCCAACGACCCGACCCUGCAGAGUAGAGGUGGCCUUGGAGCUCCCAGAGCAGCGACCUUUGUCGAAGGAGCCAGACGCUGAGGCCCAAGGGCACCCCGCGAGAUGUGGUUAAACUACAGUCCUCGGACAACCUCACUCUGCGACAAUGAGGGUUUGAAGAGAAGGGCACGGGGCGGGGUGGGGGUGGGGGACUAAUUGCCUGGGGAAGGAAAGUGAAGGUUCUGUAUCCAAGAAAUGUAUGCUCCACCCCAUCCCGCGAUAGAGUCCAAGUGUGUAGACAUCAUAUAUUAGUUUAGUGAACUCUAGGAAAAACUUGGCAAGGGAGGUCAGAGGCUAAUAGUGGGAUGGUCCCAACGUGGAGACACGGGGCUAUCAGUAACCAGGUGAUCCGCUCUGGGAGCAGAAGGACCUAGGGUUAGGAUUCUUACUAGAGAGUCUAGCCUUUCCCUGGCCAUGUUCUGGGUGUUGAGCUGAAAGAACUCACUACUCUGUGUUAGUCUCCUAGUAAUCACUGCUGUAAAUUGGGCAUGGUUGGCUCUGGGUCUUACGUUAGGGAUUCCAGACAGCAGGAGCUAAAUGAAUUCAGGUUCCUUUGCCUCGACAGAGAUAUUAGGUUUGUCUUUGGGGGGAAACAAUCUUUUCUCUGUGCCUGAGAUGCUGCCUCAGAGAGCCAGGUGGGAUUUGGGAUCCGUUUGCAUAAGGUCAGGCCACCACUUCAAUGCACCAGGACGCACCUAGCAGCUUUCAGACCAGCCUAGAACUACUAGGUAACGAGCACUUGUGUCACCCAGAUAUGGAAGGGAUCGUUGCAAAAGAAUAAAAAAAUAAGAAAAUAAAUCUGCUUAGUGUGUGGUUUGUCUCCAAGGGGAGACAAAAGGCCUACCUAGCUGGGGUCCCUUGAAAACACUAAAUAGACCCGCUUUGGGGAGAGCUAAACAAACACACCAAUGUUCAGCAGCCCGGGAGCUUUGACUAAUUUCUGUCUCUCUCAGAUUGGUUAUGAUGAGCCUUAUUUGAUUACCCUUGGCUCUUUUCCCUUCUGUAAAAUUGGAAAGAAGCAUUUCUCAGGGUUGCUGUGACAAUCGUGUUUGAAAACCGUGAAAGCCAAAGUGUAAGUCAUUACUGCGACCGGUAAGAAGCCAGGCCUGUUUUUCUACCUGUGUAUUUUGCCAGCUAGACAACAGGAUAGAGGCUAGAAUCAUUCCUUUGCGUUCCUUUGCGUGCGGGGGCGCGCGCGCGCGCAUGGGCAUGGUUCCUACGUUAAAUGCGCAUGUUGGUCUCUUUGCAAGCACAUUGACAAGGAUGCUUGAACAAGGACACAGAUCCAGGACAUCCUUCCACAGUUCAGCACAGACACGCUGUACUUAGCAGGUCAACCCAAGGUCUAUGUUUGGAGACAGGGUGUAUACAUUGUUCAGCUGAUCUAUUUCUACCUAGCUAGGUCAAUGGCUCCGGGGAAGUAGGGUCUCCUGUGCUGCUCUGCCGCUCGCUCUGGGGUGCGGAAAAGCCCGGAUCCGGGUCUCUAGGUCAGCGCGACUUGGCGCCACCCGGUUCCUUUAUCUCUCAUCUGCUGGCGGUGGGCAGCUCCAGUUUCAUUGGGGACAGAGACCCCCGGGUUGCUUGAUGGGAGCAGGGAACCAGAGGAGGUGGUAGAGGGAGGGUAUCCUGGUCCUGCUCAGGUCUAACCAUCCUGAGGAUAAAAUGUAAUAAAUGAGGAUAAAAUGUAAUCAUGAGGAUAAACGAGGAUAAAAUGUUCAGGGAAGAUUGAAUGGAGCCUUCACCCCACAAGUCUCCUUGGAGGAAGUAGAACUUGAUAACUUGGGAGAAUAUGUGACUCCUGGGUCCUUUGGGGCUGAGGAGGCUCAGGGGACUGCAAGGUUUGCAUGGACAACACUCUGCUUGGUAACUGUAUUCCCACACCAGCCAGUUGCUUGACUCUCCUCCUCUGUUCCUACAAAGGGGUUCCGAGCAGCAGGGCACUCUAAGGUACCCGGAGGUUGCCAAGGCCACUGUCACAAAUGUUAUUCAAGCAGGCUUGAAUUUUGCUGAGACCCAGCGAUUAGUACCCUAGGCUCACAGUCCUUCUCUUGCCUUCUCUGUGGAGGGUUUGGGAGGACAGAAGACACUGGUCAGACUAUUUGAAAUUCAGCUGUGGGGGACAAAGAACGCCAAGCACACAGUUGUGGCAGCACAGACACCAGACGGAAUCGGAAUCGGUAGGGACAACCAAGCCUAGCAGUGGCUGCAAAGGCUAAACACUAUUCCUCUUGUGAGGAGCAGGUCCGCAGGGAGCGCAGCUCUUCCCCCGUCCAAAUCUCUAAAUAGAAAAUAAAAGUGCUGGUGAGAAUGACCGGCAGAAAGCUCUCAGGGCAAAAGUGGCUUGGGAACACAGGCGGGCUGUGGCCCCUGUUCGGUAGAUCCACGAGGUCAGCGGGUUGGAAACGUCAACUCUCCGUUCGGAGUUGAAAGGGCCAUCGGGACGACCCGCUGCCACCUCCCCCGGGAUUCCACAAGGCCCUGACCCGGCCUUUAUCUCAGCACGGUCAGCAGUCGCGGGGGCUUCAGGAAAGAGGACAAAGGCCCGAUGUCACCACAGGCGGGGGCCCGGUUUCCUGCUCACUCUAACAGCCUUUAGUGGUAGUUGGGCAAGAUUAAAAAAAAAAUAUGUGCCGAAUUUCCUUUUUUCUCUUUUAGAAGCAAACAACAAAAAAGAAAAUGGCCAAUGCCCCUUCCCCCUAGUCCACGGGGAUGAACAUUUCCUGGGACCCUGAACUUUUGUUUGCCUGCCUAAACAAGGUUUCUUGUACACAGAUGAGAAUCCAGGGAAAGGCGUUGCUUUGUUUGAUGUGCUGGUUGUAUUACCAAAGACAGUUAGUUAAUCAGGCUGUGGUCUCAGAUUGGUCUCCCUCCUUGAACUGCUCCUGCCCUGCUGCGGGAUUUUGGCUCUGCAGGAUUCCUUCCCUUGCCUUUCGGUGCAGCCUACCUUAGGCUCAGACCCGCCUGUCAAAUCAUUCGUUUUCUUAUUUCCAAAAUAUGUGUAGGGUUAGCUGGAGAGUCUCCGCCCAAGAUGAAGAGUCUGGGCUUAAACGGGUCCCUAGAGUCGGGGCACCUGUUUUUGUUUUGUUUUGUUUUGUUUUGUUUGUUUUCGUUUUGUUUCCCCAGAAGCUAGUCUCCCACUACCUCAGCUCCCUCUCCACAACCCAGCGUCUUCCAUUGAUUCCCAGUUUAGCCCGGAUCCUGCGUUUGCCGACCCUAAUCCCCUGCAGGAUUUCCCUGAUUUUCAACGAAGGCCCAGGCUAACACAUGCCCCCUCCCAGUCCCCACCCUGCCCCAAUCUCUCACACGAGGAUGGCCACCUUCUGCUCUUCUAAAAAAAGGCAAAGAAAAAUGCAAACAUCCCUGAACCAGUGAGGAGGGAGACCUAUGGUGGGAAAAAGUGUCUUUCUCAGAGAAAACUUCCAUGGUCUGAGAAAAUGGCCUUGGCUGAAGCGAUAGGGAGAUUUCGUGGGUAAAUCCACAAGUGCAUCAUCCGUGUGUGCUCUCGGGGUCAAGUAUUCAACGCCAUGCGUCCCUCAUUCCUGAUGUCCAGGGUCUGGACAAGGCCGACACCAUCAGCUGUGCCUGGACUGUAGUAGGUUCUGGCUUGUCUGGGUCCCUGCGGUGUUCAGUGGUGACUCAGCAAUGACAGAUGGUGGGACCCCCUGGAGUUAUGACUACGUGUUGAACUCCUUUCUUCCCCCCUUCUUCCAAGAAGGGGAAGCACACUAACAAUAAAACUAGGUAUUUCGAACUGGAAUAUUUACCUAUUGUACUCACUGGUAGAUGGGUCAUUCAUUAUCUCUGUUUUAUAGAAGGGAAAACAGAAAUCUGGAAUCAGUGUUUUGCCAAGGUUAGAGUCAGUAAAGAAGGGCACUGGGCUCCCAUGGUGGGUUCUUCCCUGAGGGUGCACAGGCUCUGAUCUGUGUGUCAUCCUGUGCGAGCCACCUCCCUGGGGUAACAGGGGCUCAGACAGCUUCGUUUCAAACCACAACCUGGGCCACCAAUCACACUUCCUGCUGAACAGUCUGCCUAAACUCGCAUCCAGGGCUGCUCUUUGUGACAGAGCCAAGUGGCAGGUGAGCUGCUCAGGUCUCCUCUGAGGAUUUCUGAGGCUGGUGACCUGUGGCUGGCAACUUCUUUGGUCAGACCUUCAAGCACUCAGUUGCGCAAGUUAGGUUCCUGAGACCCAGGCACUCCUUUGGGACAGCCUGGAACCCACUCUGUUCAGAAAGUGCACAGUCACUGGCUUCCUUGGUUUGAAGACCUGUCCAUGCUUUGCCCCUCAUCCCUAUCAGAGAGGGGGGGUAUGUUGUGGCUCCUGAUUUCAACCCUUCCCACCGGUCUCAUGGGCUAAGGAGCAGGGGCUGUGACAGACAAAAGGUCAUUGUUAAGUACUAUUUAAAUAAAGUGGAGACACUGGGAAUUUUGAGCUUGACCAAACCUUCCAGGCUUUGGGAACCCUUUCUGGGUGGCAAGAAUUUGAGUCAGCAGUUGGAAAACUGCUAGCUGACCUUCACUAAGGUUCGCCCCCAACCCCCGCCAGCCACCCCCAAGUCCAUCAGAAGAUGGCUUACCAGGCUUUAUGAAGCCUGGAUUUGCCCCCAGUUUUUACCUACCAGCAGGGGGCUCUCUCUACAUGGCUAAUUUUUCAGUCUUGGCUUGCAAAAGACAAUGGGAAGGCGGAAUACAAUCCCCCAGUAUAUCUCCUGCAUUGGCAAAAAAAUGUUUCCCCAGUCUUAUUAGAGAAUUGGACUUCCCUCCACCAGCCCACUUACUUUAAGUUUUUAGGGAAUAUGAAGGUCACUAUAAGAAUUCAAACAUAGAGAAAAUGUUGCAUUCUGUCAGUAUUUAGGGAUCUUUUUAUGCACAAACAACCCCCAUGCUGCACACACCAUCCAGUACCAUGUUUCAUAACUCAUUAUAUUUGUAUCAAACUCUACUUAUGUUGCAUUUAUAGAACACACCACAAACAUAUACGCUCACCCACAUGGGCUGCUAGCUAUGCCAGCCAGACUGUGUAUACUAAGGCAUAAUUGUUCUGCACCAGGAACUCUCUUGAAUACUUUUCCUCUCACUUAGGGAAUUAUCUGAAUCAGAUUCUCUAACAAAUUCAAAGUGCAAGGGGUUGGGGGGCAGAAAGGAGAGAAAGGAAAUUUGAGACAAGGAAGGUCUGUUAUUGUCCCCAACUAGGGAAAAGGACCAAAUUUUAGCGCUUUGCAGAACCCCUUAGGGCUGGAAUUAAAGACAGAUGUCUUUCUGGAGGCAUCCGUGGGGAAGUGACUCUCUUCUCUUACCUCCUCCAACCACUGUGUAGACUUAGGCAAGUCCCCCGUAAUUCCUUCAUCUAAUUUUCCUUACUUGGCAAAAACCUUCUCAGCUGUAGAUGCCUCUUGCUGCUUAGUUCUUGGGUGCAGAGAGGCAUCCUCCAAUGCAGGCCCUGUUUGGCUUCUCCAUUUUACUGGAGUUGGGCAAUAACCUGCCCACCAAGAGUCUGACCUCUGAAGUUGUCCUCCUGCUUUCUACUCUGGAUAGCAGUUUGUUGGGGGUGCUGACAGCUAGUUCCAGAACAGGGAGCCUCUGUCAGAUGAAGUGAAGGGUGCAUAUACUUGUUAUCCUUCAGCGAGCCAGAAGUACAUGCCCAGAGCACAACCGUGUAGAUCAGCAUGUAUCAUAUCAGAGGUAUGAAUGCAACACAUACUGGGUUCUGGUAAGCACUCCCUAAUGUUAGUCAUGUGGUUAGUACAAUAUCCUAAAUAUAUGUCCUCCACCCUCUCUGCAGGUGAAUGGCAGAUACAUAGCUUCUACCCUAUCAGCAUUAAAUAGCAGACACUAGAAACACUUACACCAGGCACAGACUACACAACUAUCCCUGCUUUUGAGGGAUAGAAGCUACAGAAGCACCCUCGGGCCUGAGGGAUUCUCCUGCUUUCCACUACAACUGAGAUUCUCCUUUUAGCCUACUCCCAGUGGGUGGGCAAGUUUCCACCUUCUGGGAAUCCACAGAACUCCUCUACCACCCUGUAGCCUCCUUUUGAGAUCUUUGGAGGUGGGGAGGAAAGUGCAUUCUGAGCCAGACAGGUUUACCUCAGUCUGGGCAACUCUAAUCAUCCUGACAUUCCUAAGGUUAGACCUCCAGUUGGCUGAAAUGAGGACCCAUAGGUUGGUUCAUUCCCUCAAGCUCUCAACGACUCCCAGCUCAUUCCUCUGGACCGGUCUCUUAUCCAGGUAGGGAGAAAGGCAUGGUGAGGCAUGGGAUCUAACUCCUGUUGCCCCCAGCCACUUCUGGAGAUCCAAUAUCCAUCACCCCAUUGGAAAACUGAAGGCCAGCCACCUCUAACCCACCAGAGAGAUUUAAUCUGCGACCGGGUCAAACACCCUUUGUAUCUUCAUGAAAGCAUGGGUCUUAAUUCGUUAUUUGAUGAGCUCACUAGAGAGGAAGCAAAAGCUCACCUCCGUAGCAUAUCCUGCACUAAGCCUCCCACAAAGCACCAAGUUUCCUACACUGAAUAAGAUAAAUGAAUGCCAAUUGUUAAAAACAACGAGAUGACAAGUCGCCUAUUACACUGUAGAAAAGCUUGCAGCUUCCAGGGUGUUUCUGAAAUCGGGAUUGUAUAAUUAAAAAAAAACAAAUUGUUACAUAUUUUUGACAAAAAAUAAUUCUUAGAAAUAUGAGGAUUGUCAUGAAAACACAGCGUACACACCUAGUACAAUUAUGUAAGAGGCAAAAUAUAAACUUACACGAACGCAAAAAUAGAACAAACCUUGUCUACAGUAGCCUCUAGCGAGGGCCGGGUAUCUUUGCCGGUGUUAAACAGCCGCAACAGACGAGCGAUGACACAGAAAAACAAACAAUCUCCAGAAAAACAAAGCAGUAGCGACAGCCCAAAGCGCCUGCCACCCGGGUUGUCCUCAACUCUUGUUUGUGUCACUUUUUUUAAAGAACACAAUUUUGCUUGAAAGGCACGAUCUUUUAGCUAGCUAGCUGGCUAGCUGCUGAACUAAGGCGUAAAAGAAACAAUGUAAGUCCGUGUUAAAAGAAAAAAAAAACAAAAAAAAUUUAUUUGGGAAUUGACAAGGGACGCCCGCACACACAUACAAACACAACAAAAGUGCUCUAGUUCUCUCUAUAAAAUUUGGUCCCCGAAAGACAUUACUCAACCACCAGGUCACGGAUUUCGGGCCAGCGGGCUAGGGCCACAAGCCCGUGUGGGCCGGCGGCCGUGGCGAGUUUCACAUUUCUCCUUCCGAAGGUGGAAGAAGCCAGACAUUGGAAAAACAAAAAUCAGGGAUGGUAGUGUCAUCCGGGCGGUAUGUGCCAGCCGGGCAGUGAUCUCUCCUGGCAUCCGGGGCUAGAAUCGGAAGAUCCGGGGAAAUUUGUUUUGAAUUUAAUUUUUAAAUAGAGAGGAAAACUCCCAAUUUGUCGUGGAAACCUUCUUUUAGCUAGUUAUUUCCUCCCGCCUCUGAAUACAGCCCAAUGAAGUCACCUCAGGAAUUCUUACACAAAUCUCCCAUCAGGGACGAUGAAGAAAACUAAAACUUUUGAUUUUGUUGUUUGAUUUUUAGCAAACUCCAAGGCCAUAACACUUCGCUGUUUUUUUUUCCUCCGAUGAAUGUUUUAUUCUCUCCUUUUCCUUAAAAAGUAUUUUAAAAAAAUAUCUUCAAAAGCCUCACCAAUCUUUUAUGUAUAUAUAUAAAGACCUGGUCUGGAGGUGCCCGAAGCGGUGCGCUGCGGAGCGGAGGCACCGCGGCCUCGCGAGGCGCGGGGGAUGAGAACCCGGUUACAGGCCGCGAACCGAGACUGUCCCUGCUCCAGCCUGGGGCUCAACCCCCGCCCCGCCCAGUGGGCCCCUCUGCAAGCGGCUUCUGAUCAGUUCCAGGAGGGAUCGCAGAGCGACCGGACACGUUCUUUCCGUUCUCAGGCAGUGUGGGUCCCGCUACCCCAGCAGCCUAGCGCUUCUAACCGCAGACAGCACGGCAGUCGGGGUGGGGAGAAAAAAAACAAUCGAGCUUGAGUCCACCGACCUGGAAGAGAAGGCCAAGAGCUGCCUUUUCCCCUUCCAGUGUAGGUAAGGAAGGAAGGACUCAAAGAAAAACAGCAGGCUGGACAGGUGCUUCCUCGCAUUUCAGUCACGAAUGGGCAGUAGUUUUAAUCAUCUUUCCCCGCGGUUUUACGAUAAUACCAGAAGUCUGGUGGAGAUCCAGUUAAAUCUUCGAGAAUAGAAGACGGGCUUAGAGGAAUUCCGUGCCAGCACAAAAUCAGGCCUACAGGUGUUUGUCUUCUUCCUCAACAUCAGGCGUGUCCAGGCUAUGGGUCUGGGGGCUGAGUUUGGUUGGUCUGGACAGGAGUAAAACAACUCACUUUGAUCCGGACCAAAGAGGAUGGAGGGUCAGCACCCCAAUCCCAGGUGGAGAAAGGGUACUGUCUCUUAUGAGGACAAAGCUGGGAAACAGAGCUGCAAGAGCCCAGAGGGAUCGCCUUCCGGACCCCCUGCGUCUGACCCUAGUAAGCAGCCAGAGCAAAGAAGACUGGGGCAUAGGUGCGUGCCUGUUGCGUGGUGCAGCAGGAGGUGGAUGCUGCAGGCGCUUUAGGAAGCUGCUAGCUUUAGCCCGUUUCAUUCCGGCAAGGCUGGGCACCAUCCUCUUAGUGGCCUCCGGCCUGCGCCCACCUCCAGCGGCCUCAGUCUAGAACCGGGCGGAGCUCCAUGUUUCUCUGGUCCGGGUUUUCAGGAGCUUUCAGCGCCUCCAGCAACUUGUACCUCUAGGGAAAUGCCUGCCUUGCCAGGGAGCCUUGACCAGAGCAGCCCCUCAGCAAGGCUGGUGUAGCCUCCGAAGUCUGGACCGCCACCGACGUGAGCAAGUCGCUGAUCCCUAAUGAAGAUGCUUUUCUCCCGGGCUGAGCUUCCUAAAGCUGCCGCAGAAGCACCGCGGACCGCCUCGCGAGGCAGGCUGCUGGUUCCCCAGCACUGUUCAGGUCGGACGCUCAGCCACUCUGCUGGCUGACAGUACCUCAGAUCCUUUCUUAUCAGUCCCAGCCGGAGUUCCCACCAGAAUCGAAGAACCAGGAGGCUGAAGCCCUCUUCCGUGCAAGCUGCCUCUGCAGCGCAUUAGAAAGAGAAGAGCUUCAAUGUGUGUGUGUGUGUGUGUGUGUGUGUGUGUACUCCACUUCGCACCUACAACACACACACACACACCACACACAAAGUGACCCCCAUCCACCACUCUUCCUCAACCCCAAACCCUCUCCACCCCUUUACUCCCCCAGCUCACCAGUUGCAAAUACUAGUUCAGAUUCUGAAAGUUUUAGUAGACGUGUGUUAAAUUGCCUCUUGAAUUCCAAGUCUCAUCACAGACCAGCAUGACCUCCCAUUUCAUGGCUUUCCAUGUGAGGAAAAGCCUGCCAGACUGUGGGUUCAGAGUCCCAGUAGUGUUCUCAGGACAUUUGCAGAUUAGGUCAGGGCCCCUUUGUUUCUCAAUACCACAAAGAAGACACCAGCCUGGGCAUCUCUCUACAGUGUUUGUUCAGGGAUGGUCACUUGUUCUAGACAGAGGUGAUGGUUUGAGGAUGCUGUACCUUGUCCUGGAAAAUGCUCCCAGGAGAGGAUUUGUGAACAGUGCGAGAGCAGGAAGUGGGCUUCUGGACAGGGUCUUGUGUGUGUGGGGGGGGGUGAGGGGGGCGCUGGCCAGCAGCCUUCCCCUCAGGACUACUUCCUAUCAGGUCAUAUGCAAGGGUUUUACACUCUGAGCAGCCCAUCCUUCCUUAGGUUCCUUUGUAAACUAAUUGAGGCUUUGCUGGGCUCUGGGUUUGUGAUUGGACAUAAUUACUGGCAGACCGUUGUGCUGGUACACGCCAGUACUCAUAUUCUGCAUUUGGGGUCUUUGGCAGUGGAUAACUGGGGAUCCUGGUGUGCUCUGUUCCAGGUAUCUUUUGGCUUCGGUGUUUUGCUUGGUGAAAUGAAAGAUCUGUAACUAUCUGGAUAGAAAGGCUGUAUGGACAUGGAAACACAAGUCCAGAAACAUGCAUCGUCUGUGUUAGCCCACAGAGGCACCUGGUGUAGAAAGAACGGGGCUUGUUGUUUUAGGACAAGGUUUGGAACUCUUUUGUAGACCAGGUUGGCCUUGACUGAGAUCUGCCUGCCUCUUCGUGUUGAGCACCCUUAUUAAAGGUGCCAGCAAACCGCACACCACAGUCUGUAUGUAGCAUUGACGGGCUGGAAGUCACUACAGUGGGGCAGGUGACAAAGGCCCUUGCUUAAUUCUCAAUUAUAUCAGCCUUGGAAAUAAAGGGACCUUGUCUUGCUUCAGUGCUUACAUUGACACCAGUUUUUGAAGAGCAAUAUAAUUCACCUGAACCCCAGCCCCCAAAUACAGAAGACUUGCAAUACAAAGUCUCUUUCUCACUCUUCCUAAGUUACCCAUCUCACAGGCAGCCAGAACCCUAUAUUUUAUGCCUAUCCAAGCGUGAACAUUGGUUUUCUCCUGUACACUGCCACUUUUAUAGUUACAAAGCACCCUAGAAAUCCUUGUAUAUCAGUCCCUCCCACCCCCAGGGUCUCUCUCUCAGCUCAGGCUACCCUGGAGCCUGAGAUACUCCUUUAGGCUCUCAGAUUUCAGGUGUGCAUCGAGACGCCCCAUCUCAAUGUACUUUCUUUAUAGAGCUGAGAGGAGUUGUGUCCAUGCAUCUUCACUGUCAACUUGCUUGAACCUGGAACCAAAUAGGAAACACACUUGUGAGCAUGUUUGCACAUCCUAGGGACUGAACACGAAGAAGGGAGGAAGCGAGCCUGUUGUGGUUUGCCCUGAAGCUAUCUGUAUUUUGAUGCUAAUUCCACUGCCCCAAGGACUGCUGCCUAGUCAGUA